RNAcentral lists this long non-coding RNA (244 nucleotides) under Gallus gallus (chicken). Lineage: Eukaryota; Metazoa; Chordata; Aves; Galliformes; Phasianidae. The record is from RNAcentral.
GUCAAUGAUGAGAGGCACGGAGUAGUCGACGGCCAGGCGCCGCGUGCGGUACCCCUUGGUGACAAAGGAGGAAAGCCGGCGGCCCCCAGAGUUGCGCAUGGAGAGGUUGAUGACCAUCUCAAAGUGGUUCUCUGCCAAGUAGUCCAGGAUGCUGCGCUGCGUCUCACGGGCACCCGCUUCAGUGCUGUCUGCCUCCUCAAAGUGCCAAUCCACUGCCAUCACCUUGAUGCCGUGCUCGGUGUAG